UACGUAGGGGGCGAGCGUUAUCCGGAUUCACUGGGUGUAAAGGGAGCGUAGACGGCCAUGCAAGCCAGGGGUGAAAGCCCGGGGCCCAACCCCGGGACUGCCCUUGGAACUGCAUGGCUGGAGUGCGGGAGGGGCAGGCGGAAUUCCUGGUGUAGCGGUGAAAUGCGUAGAUAUUAGGAGGAACACCAGUGGCGAAGGCGGCCUGCUGGACGGUGACUGACGCUGAGGCACGAAAGCGUGGGUAUCGAACAGG
This 253-nucleotide ribosomal RNA is filed under the name uncultured Eubacteriales bacterium. RNAcentral describes it as "uncultured Clostridiales bacterium partial 16S ribosomal RNA". It matches the Rfam family "Bacterial small subunit ribosomal RNA", at positions 524 to 776 of the family's 1533-position model. Lineage: Bacteria; Bacillati; Bacillota; Clostridia; Eubacteriales. The record is from RNAcentral.